RNAcentral lists this ribosomal RNA (450 nucleotides) under uncultured bacterium. RNAcentral describes it as "partial 16S ribosomal RNA". It matches the Rfam family "Bacterial small subunit ribosomal RNA", at positions 354 to 796 of the family's 1533-position model. The record is from RNAcentral.
GUGGGGAAUUUUGGACAAUGGGCGAAAGCCUGAUCCAGCCAUGCCGCGUGCAGGAUGAAGGCCUUCGGGUUGUAAACUGCUUUUGUACGGAACGAAAAGACUCUGGUUAAUACCUGGGGUCCAUGACGGUACCGUAAGAAUAAGCACCGGCUAACUACGUGCCAGCAGCCGCGGUAAUACGUAGGGUGCAAGCGUUAAUCGGAAUUACUGGGCGUAAAGCGUGCGCAGGCGGUUAUAUAAGACAGAUGUGAAAUCCCCGGGCUCAACCUGGGAACUGCAUUUGUGAGUGUAUAGCUAGAGUACGGCAGAGGGGGAUGGAAUUCCGCGUGUAGCAGUGAAAUGCGUAGAUAUGCGGAGGAACACCGAUGGCGAAGGCAAUCCCCUGGGCCUGUACUGACGCUCAUGCACGAAAGCGUGGGGAGCAAACAGGAUUAGAAACCCCGGUAGUCC